This 1664-nucleotide long non-coding RNA is filed under the name Oryza brachyantha (malo sina). RNAcentral describes it as "long non-coding RNA (OBRA_LNC002180)". The record is from RNAcentral. Lineage: Eukaryota; Viridiplantae; Streptophyta; Magnoliopsida; Poales; Poaceae.
CCAUGAGCGUUUUUACCACCCGUCCAUUCUGACGCUAGUAUAUAGUAACACAAUGACCUGCACAAACGGGGAAAAAAAGACAGGCUAAAAUUAUAAUAUUUGCAUAAAAUCAUUGAAUUCUAUACCGCGUAGUACAUUUUAAGGACAACAUCAUAAUGCACAUUACACAACUUCUUGGGGGAACAUAAACAACAAAAAUAGCCCUUACUCGUUUUGCAUCAUUGUAAUACUAUGGCUAUUUAUCCUUGGUGUCUUGGUGAUGCUCCUAAGCAUCAACACGUCACCUCACGCAGAGGUCUGACACUGAAACAAUGCACUGUAAUUAUACUUAAUCCCAUGACAGACGCAACACAAUUUUCUUAAAAACAAUGAGAAGUUGGGGAUUGGGGGUUCCAAUUUCCAACUCUCACGUGGGAGAGAAAAGUCCAUGAUAAAUUGUUCCAAAUAUAACAAAAAACAUAGAUACUGUAUAGAAAGUUAUGUAAACCAGCAAAUAUUCUUUUAUCAGAUUGGGAUGAAGUGCCAAAAACAAAGAUACUUUAGAGAAAGUUAAUCAUGCACUUAAGCAAAUACACUAACCGCAUAGGUGUCCCUUUGGAUUAUUGAAAUUGUGUUUUAUAAAUCCGUGUACUACAUGAAAGAUUUUUUUAAACAAAUAAUUAUCUAUGUGCUCUUUUUUAAAUAACUGAUGUGCACGGGGGUGGCCUGAUCUUUCGGUGAGUUGUGAUAACUACGAUUUAAGAGAAACGUUGACGAUCCGACUACAGGUUGUAUCCAUAGUAGACAUGGUCACAUCAUUAACUAUCCCACACUUCCCGCACAUGGGGCAUGGAAAUUCCUGGGAACCAUCAAAUAUCUCAUUUACCAAAAGGCAAGGUGACAAUUUUAUGCAGACCAUUAAACUUUAAAUGAAUUAAAAGCAUGGAAGAUGUAAUAAUUUGCAGCAUCAACAUACAACGAUAUGUAAUUAGUACCCAAUCAACUUGAUGCCAGCACUAAAAAAACAACUAUGUACAAUGUGCGUACAAGCUCAAACUGAACUUACAUACUAUAAUUACCUAAGAAACUGGUACCCUAAUAUGAUUUUCAGAACUGUUAAGCCUAAGGUUCGGAGUGAUGCAAGCAGUAUUUAUGAAUCUAAGUGUACAGAGGAUUAACAGAUACCACCAAUCUUUCAACAGAAUGUACGGCAGUGAAUUUGAGAGAUCAAGCAGUGAAAAACAGAUAGCAGAUAUCUUAAAGAACAUCAAGAAGUAUUACUAAUUACUUGAGACAAAUUUACGACAUGUGUACUUCAACAACUUUGGUUUGUCACAGUUUCAGAUCAAAUCAUCAAAUAAUGAACCUGCCUUAACAACAUCAAAUAACAACAGAUACAAGAUGUUUCAGAAUUAAAGGACAACAGUGCAUCAGAAAAUCCACCGUACCUCGCCAUAUUUGGAGAAAACCCCAGCAGCUUUUAUGUAGAUCAGAUUCUAUCUAUCUGAACAACAACAGAAAUAUGUCAGAGUACAAAAUUACAAAAACUGUAUUAUAAUACUGAUGAUGAACAAUCAUAUUACCUGUUUUAUCACCAUGUCUCUAAGAUUGCACCAGCAGAUAACACUAGUUGAUGAUGAACAAGAACUAUUUUGGGAACUGUUGAUCACCUGAGGUACUGCUGU